RNAcentral lists this ribosomal RNA (465 nucleotides) under Vreelandella stevensii. RNAcentral's name for it is "partial 16S ribosomal RNA". It matches the Rfam family "Bacterial small subunit ribosomal RNA", at positions 338 to 795 of the family's 1533-position model. Lineage: Bacteria; Pseudomonadati; Pseudomonadota; Gammaproteobacteria; Oceanospirillales; Halomonadaceae. The record is from RNAcentral.
CCUACGGGAGGCUGCAGUGGGGAAUAUUGGACAAUGGGGGCAACCCUGAUCCAGCCAUGCCGCGUGUGUGAAGAAGGCCCUCGGGUUGCAAAGCACUUUCAGUGAGGAAGAACGCCUGGUGGUUAAUACCCAUCAGGAAAGACAUCACUCACAGAAGAAGCACCGGCUAACUCCGUGCCAGCAGCCGCGGUAAUACGGAGGGUGCGAGCGUUAAUCGGAAUUACUGGGCGUAAAGCGCGCGUAGGUGGCUUGAUAAGCCGGUUGUGAAAGCCCCGGGCUCAACCUGGGAACGGCAUCCGGAACUGUCAAGCUAGAGUGCAGGAGAGGAAGGUAGAAUUCCCGGUGUAGCGGUGAAAUGCGUAGAGAUCGGGAGGAAUACCAGUGGCGAAGGCGGCCUUCUGGACUGACACUGACACUGAGGUGCGAAAGCGUGGGUAGCAAACAGGAUUAGAUACCCCAGUAGUC